RNAcentral lists this ribosomal RNA (460 nucleotides) under uncultured bacterium. Its description in RNAcentral is "partial 16S ribosomal RNA". It matches the Rfam family "Bacterial small subunit ribosomal RNA", at positions 338 to 795 of the family's 1533-position model. The record is from RNAcentral.
CCUACGGGUGGCAGCAGUGAGGAAUAUUGGUCAAUGGACGGGAGUCUGAACCAGCCAAGUAGCGUGAAGGAUGACGGCCCUAUGAGUUGUAAACUGCUUUUGUAAAAGAGUAAAACUAGGCACGUGUCCCCUGCUGCAUGUACUGUAUGAAUAAGGAUCGGCUAACUCCGUGCCAGCAGCCGCGGUAAUACGGAGGAUCCAAGCGUUAUCCGGAUUUAUUGGGUUUAAAGGGUGCGUAGGUGGAUUGUUAAGUUAGCUGUGAAAUGUUGGGGCUUAACCGUGAAACUGCCUCUGAUACUGGCAGUCUUGAGUACAGAUGAGGUAGGCGGAAUGCGUGGUGUAGCGGUGAAAUGCUUAGAUAUCACGCAGAACACCGAUUGCGAAGGCAGCUUACCAAACUGUCACUGACGUUGAGGCACGAAAGUGUGGGUAGCAAACAGGAUUAGAUACCCGUGUAGUC